UACGGAGGAUCCAAGCGUUAUCCGGAAUCAUUGGGUUUAAAGGGUCCGUAGGCGGUUUUGUAAGUCAGUGGUGAAAGCCCAUCGCUCAACGGUGGAACGGCCAUUGAUACUGCAAGACUUGAAUUAUUGGGAAGCAACUAGAAUAUGUAGUGUAGCGGUGAAAUGCUUAGAGAUUACAUGGAAUACCAAUUGCGAAGGCAGGUUGCUACCAAUACAUUGACGCUGAUGGACGAAAGCGUGGGGAGCGAACAGG
This 253-nucleotide ribosomal RNA is filed under the name uncultured bacterium. RNAcentral describes it as "partial 16S ribosomal RNA". It matches the Rfam family "Bacterial small subunit ribosomal RNA", at positions 524 to 776 of the family's 1533-position model. RNAcentral also lists the same sequence under 1 other name. The record is from RNAcentral.